This is a ribosomal RNA of Pteropus vampyrus (large flying fox), 119 nucleotides long. The record is from Ensembl. Lineage: Eukaryota; Metazoa; Chordata; Mammalia; Chiroptera; Pteropodidae.
GUCUAUGGCCAUGCCACUCUGAACGUGCCUGAUCUCGUCUGAUCUUGGAAGCUAAACAGGGUCAGGGCUGGUUAGUACUUGGAUGGGAAACCACCUAGGAACACCAGUUGCUGUACGUG